UACAGAGGUCCCAAGCGUUGUCCGGAUUUACUGGGCGUAAAGAGCGCGCAGGCGGUCGUUCAAGUCGAGUGUGAAAGCCCCCGGCUCAACUGGGGAGGGUCACUCGAUACUGAUCGACUUGAAGGCAGGAGAGGGAAGCGGAAUUCCCGGUGUAGUGGUGAAAUGCGUAGAUAUCGGGAGGAACACCAGUGGCGAAGGCGGCUUCCUGGCCUGUUCUUGACGCUGAGGCGCGAAAGCUAGGGGAGCAAACGGG
RNAcentral lists this ribosomal RNA (253 nucleotides) under uncultured bacterium. RNAcentral's name for it is "partial 16S ribosomal RNA". It matches the Rfam family "Bacterial small subunit ribosomal RNA", at positions 524 to 776 of the family's 1533-position model. The record is from RNAcentral.